Molecule: transfer RNA, 89 nt
Filed under: Achromobacter agilis
Lineage: Bacteria; Pseudomonadati; Pseudomonadota; Betaproteobacteria; Burkholderiales; Alcaligenaceae
Description: tRNA-Ala
Source: RNAcentral
CCCGGGCGUGGUGCUGGACGGCAUGCUCCAUCCGCGCUGGAGCCUGAAUGUCUUCAUGCGCACGCUGUUCGGCAGCGGCGUGCCCCGGU